This 67-nucleotide transfer RNA is filed under the name Rhodocyclaceae bacterium. Its description in RNAcentral is "tRNA-Leu". Lineage: Bacteria; Pseudomonadati; Pseudomonadota; Betaproteobacteria; Rhodocyclales; Rhodocyclaceae. The record is from RNAcentral.
GCCCAGGUGGCGGAAUGGGUAGACGCACUGGAUUUAGGUUCCNNUUCGAGUCCUCUCCUGGGCACCA